Molecule: small nucleolar RNA, 131 nt
Organism: Ictidomys tridecemlineatus (thirteen-lined ground squirrel)
Lineage: Eukaryota; Metazoa; Chordata; Mammalia; Rodentia; Sciuridae
Source: Ensembl
GACCUCCUGGUGCUUACCACAGGCUGUGUUUUUAUGCUGAGUAUAUACAAAAGGGAGGCAGAGAAAACCUAUCCUAUAGACACCCCAGCCCAGGCCUCCUGCCUGGACUGUAUUGUGAAUGGGGGCUAUGG